ACAAAGCUGUAGCGUUAUUC
RNAcentral lists this microRNA (20 nucleotides) under Oryza sativa (Asian cultivated rice). RNAcentral's name for it is "osa-miR2099-3p". Lineage: Eukaryota; Viridiplantae; Streptophyta; Magnoliopsida; Poales; Poaceae. The record is from miRBase by way of RNAcentral.